RNAcentral lists this ribosomal RNA (201 nucleotides) under uncultured Thiobacillus sp. RNAcentral's name for it is "partial 16S ribosomal RNA". It matches the Rfam family "Bacterial small subunit ribosomal RNA", at positions 1187 to 1382 of the family's 1533-position model. The record is from RNAcentral. Lineage: Bacteria; Pseudomonadati; Pseudomonadota; Betaproteobacteria; Nitrosomonadales; Thiobacillaceae.
AAGUCCUCAUGGCCCUUUAUGGGUAGGGCCUUCACACGGUCAUACAAUGGUCGGUACAGAGGGUUGCCAAGCCGCGAGGCGGAGCCAAGUCCCACAAAGCCCGAUCGUAGUCCGGAUUGUUCUCUGCAACUCGAGAGCAUGAAGUCGGAAUCGCUAGUAAUCGCAGGUCAGCAUACUGCGGUGAAUACGUUCCCGGGUCUU